GAUAAACGCUGGCGGCGCACAUAAGACAUGCAAGUCGAACGGACUUAACCAUUAGUUUACUGAUGGAGCGGUUAGUGGCGGACUGGUGAGUAACACGUAAGCAACCUGCCUAUCAGAGGGGAACAACAGUUAGAAAUGACUGCUAAUACCGCAUAUGCCUAAGUAUCACAUGAUACAAUAGGGAAAGGAGCAAUCCGCUGAUAGAUGGGCUUGCGUCUGAUUAGAUAGUUGGUGGGGUAACGGCCUACCAAGUCGACGAUCAGUAGCCGGACUGAGAGGUUGAACGGCCACAUUGGGACUGAGAUACGGCCCAG
RNAcentral lists this ribosomal RNA (314 nucleotides) under uncultured bacterium. Its description in RNAcentral is "bacterial SSU rRNA". It matches the Rfam family "Bacterial small subunit ribosomal RNA", at positions 28 to 334 of the family's 1533-position model. The record is from RNAcentral.